UUUUAACAAAUGUCCAUCACGCUUAAGAUAAUGUUGUGGACACUGUUAUUGCCAUAGCUAUUUCCCUUCCUGUCCCUUUUACCAGAUCUGUACGUUCAUCCCUCUGCUUCUGCAUGAAGUGAUACUGAUUAGACCUGACAUAUUCAAAAAGGUAUCUUGGACACUGGAGCCGCAUAUCAGCUGGUAGGAAGAUCCCAAGCACAGACAUCGAUUAGCGAGUGUUCUCUGAAGAGCUCCACAUGCUGAUGCUUGAUGCCAAUAUCUGGAAAUGGAGUAGGUGAGGAAGCAGCCAUCAUCACUCCCCGUGGAGGACGCAGGAGUAAGGCACUGUCCUGGAAGAAGAGAGCAGCCCUCACCAGACGCCAAACCUGCCAGCGCCUUGGUCUUGGACUUCCAGCAUCCAGAACUG
RNAcentral lists this long non-coding RNA (409 nucleotides) under Homo sapiens (human). RNAcentral's name for it is "HSALNT0144692". Lineage: Eukaryota; Metazoa; Chordata; Mammalia; Primates; Hominidae. The record is from RNAcentral.